CUUUCCUUCCUGUCUCUCUUCCUUUUCAGAUCUGCUGAAUUUCUCUCCCUCUCCUCAUCAGUACAGACCUCUUGGGACAUCUUCAGGAUUGACUGGCUGCAUAGAGGCCAAGAGUCCUCAAGUAUUCUUCUGAGAAGCCAAGGCUAGCCACUAAUCUCAAUACAAAACUGCGCCAUGAGUUCUCCUUCAUUUCUUCUUAUGCCAAGAUUAAAAGGCCUGGAAAUGUGCAAAAGAUGACUUCCAGUCAAUAAUUGAUGGCUGCCUUAUAGAGCAAGAUUGUUAUUGAGAGUAGAGAUAACCAUGGCUGAAGAUGUUGAAGGAGGAGCAACCAAUAGCAGUGCCAACAGGACCUUAUUUAAGAAGAAAGGAGACAUACAAAAGCUUUUAAAUAAAUAAAUGUGUAAAUCAAACAACAGAACCACAGAUGCAGAUCCACCCACUGAAAUAAAUGAGCUGGUAAAUGGAGCAG
Molecule: long non-coding RNA, 469 nt
Organism: Eublepharis macularius
Lineage: Eukaryota; Metazoa; Chordata; Lepidosauria; Squamata; Eublepharidae
Exons: 3
Source: RefSeq, a predicted model, not a curated record